CUCAAGAUAGUCAUUUAAUUGUGCUCUCAUUAUAUGUUUCAUAUACAGAAAUAAGCUGCAGGACACACUACGCAUGAUGAAACAAAUGGAGUUUCCAGAUACUGCAAAAGAUCCUAUGGUCUACAAAUGCAUUGGAAGUGCAAUAAAAAAUUUAAAAACAUUCAAUCAAGCAAAGCCCAAAAAAGUCCAAAAUUCAAGUGAUGGAAACUUGUGAAUCGUCCUCAGCAGAAAGAUGCAGUAUGCAUCCAGAAAUUGGAAUCUCAUCAUUUAUGGUUAAAGGAAAUGUUUAAUGCAUACCUCAUUCUCAGGACGACUGUAAUCCACUGGAUCUCUUCCAGUAAUUGCUUCCAAGAGCACAACUCCAAAGCUAUAAACG
Molecule: unclassified non-coding RNA, 376 nt
Filed under: Hevea brasiliensis (rubber tree)
Lineage: Eukaryota; Viridiplantae; Streptophyta; Magnoliopsida; Malpighiales; Euphorbiaceae
Source: RNAcentral